UACGGAAGGCAGCAGUGGGGAAUAUUGCACAAUGGGCGAAAGCCUGAUGUAGCUAUGCCGCGUGUAUGAAGAAGGCCUUAGGGUUGUAAAGUACUUUCAUCGGGGAGGAAAAAACAAAACUAAUAAUUUUAUUUCUUGACGUUACCCGAAAAAGAAGCACCGGCUAACUCCGUGCCAGCAGCCGCGGUAAUACGGAGGGUGCUAGCGUUAAUCAGAAUUACUGGGCGUAAAGAGCACGUAGGUGGUUUUUUUAAGUCAGAUGUGAAAUCCCUGGGCUUAACCUAGGAACUGCAUUUUGAAACUGAAAUACUAGAGUAUCGUAGAGGGAGGUAGAAUUCUAGGUGUAGCGGUGAAAUGCGUAGAUAUCUGGAGGAAUACCUGUGGCGAAAGCGGCCUCCUAAACGAAUACUGACACUGAGGGUGCGAAAGCGUGGGGAGCAAACAGGGAUUAGAUACC
RNAcentral lists this ribosomal RNA (457 nucleotides) under uncultured bacterium. RNAcentral describes it as "bacterial SSU rRNA". It matches the Rfam family "Bacterial small subunit ribosomal RNA", at positions 340 to 786 of the family's 1533-position model. The record is from RNAcentral.